GACAGGGGACAGGCAUGGGGGCAGGGGACCAGGAAUAGGGGCUGGGAAUAGGGCAGAGGGGACAGGUAUAUGGGGAUAGGGGAUGGACAUGGGGACAGGCACAGGGAGUAGGGCCUGAGAAUAGGGGAUAGGACAAGGGACAGGUGUUUGUGGGUAGGGGACAGGCACGGGGACAGGGGACAAGGGGCCAGAGAAGGGGGACAGACAUGGGGACGGGGGAUCAAGGGCAGCGAACAGGGCCUGGGAAUAGGAUAUAGGGCUGUAGGGCUCAGGUGACAGUUAUAUAUGGAUGGGGACAGGGAAAGGGGACCUAGAAUAGGAUCUAGGGGCCAGGCACGGGGACAGGGAAUAGGGCCUGGCAUGGGGCCAGGCAGGGGGACAGGGGAUCGAGGACAGGGAAUAGGGCCCAGGAAUAGCUUGGGUCCUGUGCUGGGGCCUAGGGACAGGGAUAUAGGGACAGGACCAAGGACUUGGGGGGAGAAAGUCCCAAAACAGGGGACAGGGCUUAGGAGAUAGGGGGCAGGAGUGGGGAAAAGGGUCUGGGGAUGGGGGAUAAGGCACGGGGACGAGGAAUGGGGCAUGGGGGUGGCCUGUAGGGCCCAGGGCUAUGGGGUACAGCACCUAUAGGGUGGGGAACACGGGGAAAAUUCCUAUUCUAAGCAUGUUCCUUGGGGUUUUAUUGGAUAAAGCCAGCCCUACAGACAGCUCCGUGCUCGCCGUCCCCAUCCCUGAGGGGAUCCUGCCCCAGUUUGCUCCCCCAAACCUACUGGGAGCGCUGGUGACAAACGGGACACGGGGGUGGCCCCGCAAGACGUGGAAAAUAACGCGGGGCCCACGAGGCGACCGUUCCCACCCAGCAACCCGUCCCCAAAGCCCCCGGCGCAGGUUAUCAACGGGAUUAAGGUUAUGAGAGCCUUGUCCUCCAGCUCCCGCUGGGACAUCAAAGCCCGACGCUCUUCCUUUUUGGCACGCAGCGGCGCUGCCUGCGUAAGAGAAGUGUGUGCCACCGGCCCUGCGAGCCUCGGAAACGGGACGAGAGAAAGGAGCGUGGGGAAUUCCCUGCCAGCAUCCUGCCUCGCGAGGAGGAUGAGACGAGAGAAGUUUGCCUGGAAAGGAGCCACGGAUGGCUCGGGUUUUAUCCUCCAUUUAUCCCCAUUCAGGGCUUUUUGGUCACAACACUGCUCUGUGUUACCUUUUCCCCGGGACACCUUGCACCGCAGCCGAGCUUCUUGAAUCCUCCCCAGCUCCUUGGAUCGCAGGAGCAGGCAGGGCCCGUCUUGCUGGCACAGGGCUGAAGGACAUUGCCCCUCGGGGAGCUCUGGAGCUAAGGCAAACCCGGGUUUAAUGGCAGGAAGAGGAGGGGAGGACAAAGGUGGGGGCUGUGAGACAGGUGCCUGGCAAGAGGGGGGCCGCAGCGAGCCACGGGCGGAUGCAAAGGGCAGCGUCUUGGCUCCGGGAGAGCCCGUGACAAAAUUCCUGUUGACUUUGGCAAGGCCAGGAUGUCACAGAGAGGUGACGGAGCUGUCCCGGUGUCAUGGGCAGAGCCAGGAGCAGAUUGCCCUGCCUGGGGUGCCCCUCACACCGCCGGCUAUGGAGAUAUGGAGACUCCUCCCCAUGCAGAUCCCCCCCUUUUUUUUAUUAUUUCAGGCAGGUUGUACCAAACUGGCUCCUCUUACUGAUAUUUGUGCCAAGGGGCACACCAGCACCGGUGCUAACUGUUCGCAUUAAAUAACGAUACGAAUUUUCUGAAGCGUGCAGGAGUUUGUCGUGAGGGCUGGAGCCCGGCUCUGCUCGGGGCUGCACGAGCUGAGAAGAAAAAUCCCACCUGGAGGAAAAUCAGAACACCCUGAGCUGUGCUUCUGGACCCAUCACCGUGUGCCUCUGUUCACCCAUCGGGCUGGAAGGAGCCCAGAGGUCACCUCCUUGCCCCAAGGACCCUGGCAUCACACGAGUGCUGCAAGCACAGCCCACCAGCCCUGCAGUUAUCUGAAGGACGAACAUUUUCCCUCUGGCUCAUUCCCUAAUAAACCUCUCACUCGAGCUGACGUCCCCGGCUCAUUCAGCCAGGAUCUCAGGGGACGUGACCCAUGGCCAGAACCGCUCCUGCCCCCCUUAUUUAUUCAAUGACUCAAAGAAACGCUCCCGAGGCUGUGACAAAGGGGAAGAAAAACAAGGAAAUGCACAUGUGAGGCUGUGCUGCGGGCUGCACGCACCAGGGGUGCAUUUAGGAAGUAGUUAAGGAAGCUCCUUGCUGCGCCUGGGGAUUGGGGUCGGAGCCGGUGCCAGGCCCCGUUUCUGUCUGCCUUCCCCCAGCAGCAGGCAUCCUUUGACCCAUUUUGGGGUCUGCAUUGCUCCUCCAGGCUCUCCUGCUGAUGUUUGUGCCCACGAAGGAAAGGUGCAGCUCAGAUGAACCCCCUGGACCUCCUCGAUGCUGGUGGAGAUGUCCCCAUGUCCGCUUUGUCCCCAGCUGCUUCCCAACUCCCCUCUUGGCACAGCUCCACAUGCAGCCAGUCCUGAAACCAUCCCAGCCAGGCUGAGCACUCCCCAAAGCACCUUUUUUUUAUGAGAAAUCCUCUAAAAGAGCUGAGUUAGGGAGCAGGCUGGCGUGCUGGCAGGUCCCUGGAGGCAGCAGCCCCAGAUGGGGUGCUGGGGACACCCCUCGGGGGCUGCAGUGCCACCUGCGAGGGACAUGGUCGUAGACCUGCUGAUUUGAAGUCACCACUAAAUUUCACCUGCCACAUUAAAUAGCUUGUGUCUCAGCUACCUGACCCUAAUACCACGGUACGAGCUGCGUGUAAAGGACCAAAACUCUCCGUGCGUUUUCACGGGGGCUCCAGAGGUGCUCAGAGGGGCUGCCAUGGGAGGCAGAGCUCCUUGUGUGCCCUUUAGGAACCUUGAGUGCCCUUUAGGAUCCUUGUGUGCCCUUUAGGAUCCUCGUGUGCCCUUUAGGGACUCUUUUCAAGCACCUACAAAGCCUGUUUCCUUGACUCAUUUCUUUUCACUGCUUUUCAUACUGACUCAUUGCUUUGCAUACCGAGGGGAGCUGGCACCCAGGCGUCCGGAUUUAGCAGGACAGAGGAAGAAAAAGGUGGGGUGAGCGCACGUGGCACUGCCUAUUGACAGACCUGCAAGUUGCUGGGAGAUCAGGAUCUGUUUUAGCAGUGGGAAAGGAGAGGCAGAGAGGAAUCGUGCAACAACCCAGGGCCGGGAAGAUGGCACGGACCUGAAGCCAGCAGCUCGGUGUCGUGGUCCUGGCGCGCAGAGGUCUCCACGCCCAACUCUCUGCUCCCUUUCCUCUCUAUCUGACAUGAAUUUCAGGGAACUGUUGACUAGAUACCACUCUCUUUGUGCUUGAUGGAAAGAAAAAAUACGUGAAAAGUGACAGUCGGGAUGGUAAAAAUGGCUUUUCCUUCUGUUUUUCCCCGCUGCUGCCAAAAACCUGCCAGUUCGGAAUGUUUUUCACAGGCUCAUCUCCCUGGAGAAGCGAGCUAUUUCUGAUGGAAGCAGCUGGUUCUUCUAAAAGGUCUUAUUGCAGACACCGGAAUGGAAAAAACAAAUAAAACACCAUCUAUUCCCACCCUUUGGGGUCAGAUCUUGUGUUUUUGCCUCCUGUGACAAGGGGCAGACGAACCUACAAGUCUCUGGACAGGAGCUGCGAGCUGCAGCGGCCAGAGGGGAACUUUUUUUUCAGCAGACAUCGCACAGACCCGCUCCAUUUCCACUGGCACAACUAAAUAUACAGCGGCUGCUGUUCUAGUUAUGUUUAAAUCAAUAAAUAUUCUUUUAGAAUAUCAAA
Molecule: non-coding RNA, 3796 nt
Organism: Anas platyrhynchos (mallard)
Lineage: Eukaryota; Metazoa; Chordata; Aves; Anseriformes; Anatidae
Source: RefSeq, a predicted model, not a curated record